Molecule: long non-coding RNA, 4104 nt
Filed under: Zostera marina
Lineage: Eukaryota; Viridiplantae; Streptophyta; Magnoliopsida; Alismatales; Zosteraceae
Description: long non-coding RNA (ZMAR_LNC004857)
Source: RNAcentral
CCUUGAAAAAUAUUAAUAUAUUGUGAAAAUUGCAUUUAACCCUCUAUAAAAAAUUUAUUACAUACAAAUCCUUAUUUUUCCCCCUAAAUUUCAAGGGGGCAAUUAUCCUUUUUUGCCACCCCUGGCUACGCCACUGCGCACCGACGUACGGCGCAUCUGAAAAUUAAAGUAUUUUUUUAUACCAUUUCCUUAAUACCAUUUGUUUUAACCUAGUCACCCAAUCCAUUGAUCCAAUUUGAGUACCUUCUAGCUAAGCCUGUAAAUUUUUUAAAAUUUAAUAUCUGAUAUUUAUGAUAUUACAGAAAAAUAAUGAAAAAUUUAAUAAUUAAAACAUAAAUGAUCCUAAAUAUAAAUAAAGGAUAACCUAAAUCUAUUGAUCUUGAAAGCUCAAUAAAAUUAUUCCUAUUCGAUUCAUCUUACAUAUAUAUUCAUUAAUUACUUUCCCAGUGAUGGUUGUUGUGGUGGUCCCAUUAUCGGUAACGUAUUAGAGAUAAUUCUGAUAUAUCGCGCUACUGAUAUCACCUCCCAUACUUUCAUUUUUAUCUGCUUCAUCUAUCUUACUAGAGAACAUCGCCAUUAAAUCAGUCCUGCUAUCACAUCUUUCCUGCAUUUUUGGAAACCUCUCUCCACCAUUCUUCAAACUUCCGACCUCAUUAUUGCUACCGUAAAUGCUUGGGUCAAGGCCAGCGUAAAGGGACGAUUCAGACAUGCCAUAAUUACCUCCACCUAGGUUGGACAUUGAAUAGCUAGUUUCUCCAACCGUAGGAUAAAUGUAAUGGGGCAGUUGGAUCCAUCAUAACAGUGUAAUCAUUUUCACAAUCAUUAUUUCUUCCGAUCGAUAUAGCAUAUCUAUCGUUGUCUAUUCCGAGACCAAAUACCACUAGAACUAGCACCAUUGAUAUCCAUACACAUCCGUUUAUUUGGCGAUUGUUGCGCAAGUGGGGUUGUCUUUGUUGUUGUGGUUGAUGUGCAUGUUGCGGUUGUUGCGUUUGCUGUGAUGGGGAGUUAUUUAGUCUCUCUCCUUCUGACUCUCGAUACUUCUCCAGAUAAAUCUAAUGGAACAAAAUACAUUCGAAAAGAGAUUUAAUUAAAAUAAUAUCUGAUAGUUUGUGAAAUAUUUUGUUAAUUGUGAUCAAACGAGAUAAACCUUUAGAGGAAUAGUAUAUGAAUCAAAGUCGAGACGGUUCAUGGACCAAAGAAGGUCAUCCCCGUUGAUAGUUUUACGUUUCUCACUGUGACACUUUUCAGACGCUUCACCGAGAUAAAACUAACAUACUCCGAAACACAUUCUUGAAUCGUUUCUUUGGCUUCUUUCGAGAUCUUAGCAUUUAUCGGCAGAGCUCUCUUCAUGAUCCGGCUCACAUUUGCUAUUGGAAGAAAUCGAUCAUUUGAGGCUGCAUCCCUUUUGGAAUUACUAUUAGAUGAACUCCCGACCAUUGAGUUAUUGGUUGCAAGCCCUCUUCAAUUCCGUUGUUCACGCCUUCAGAUGUUUCUCUGACCAUGUUUGUGAAAAGGAUUUAUAAGAAUGUUUAAGCCUAUUCCCAAAAUUCUUGUCCAACCAUAAAAUAGAAAUUUCAAUGUCCUCUGGCCACCAAUAGAUUUUUUUUAGCUAUCAAUAGUUUUCUUUAGCUAUCAACCACCUAAUUUUGAUGCAACAUAUAUAGAUAUUAUUGAUUAAAAAUUCAAAUUAUGUACUUGGUCGACAAUAGGGUGUCAGACGAGCCGAGCCGAGCUUUGGCUUAUUGAGCCGGGCUCUGGCUCGGCUCGUUAAGGAGUAAUCCAGACUCGGGCUCGAAGUCGCCGAGCUUGGUUUGGCCGAGCUCGGGUUCAGCUCGUUAAUGAUUUGCCGAGCCGAAGUUCGAGCCCUAACCCGAGCCCUAGUUGAGCUCAUCGAGUCGAGUUUUAUUUGACACCCUAGUCUACACUAAUCCUUUUGUCCAAUGUCUAUUAUGAAAUUCGGUCAUAUUUUCCGAGGCGGGUAUCGUGGCAAGACAUUCCCGAGUUUGGCCCAGUCUUCAUAGACCGAGACUCACUCGAAACUCGAAACUCGAAAUUUUCUAUGAAAAAACCAUCCUAAAAUAUAAAUGAAAUUAAUUUAACCUAUUACCCUCUAAUUAAUUUAAUUUCAUCAAUUAACCUAUUUUUAAUUUAUCUAAUUUGACCCUGCUUAUUUGUGUUAGUGUUUUUUGUUGUACAUUUUUUUCGUCUACAUGUGUUAGUGUUUUUUGUUGUAUCUUUUUUUUCGUACAUGUGUUAGUUAGUGUCUUGUGUAAUACAUUAUCGUAGUUAAUGGAUAAAAAAUUAAAAGAUAGGAUACGUUCGGUGCAUUUUGGCGCACCGACAGUGGCGUAUCCAGGAUUCUCCGACAGGGGAGCAAUAUUCGUCGAAGGCGAAUUUUGUUUUUGUACUGAUUAAAAAAUAAAAUUUUUGCAUGACCUAUUCAUAAAAUCGAUUAUAAAAACCUAUAAAAAUUCAAUGCAUUCAAUCCAUACAAUAAUUAAUAUUCAAUAAAAUAAACACAUUUAUUUAAUUUACAAUAAAAAUUUCUAAUAUAUUAAACAUUACUUCAAUGUCCUACGACACAUAUCAUUAAAUAUUUUUAAAAUGAUUUCAUUGUUAUAUUUUUAAAAAUAUCUUUUUCGAUAUAUAUUAUUAAACAAUCAUUCAUCAAACUAUCACCAAACUUAUAUAUUAAAUUUAUUUUAAUAUGUAAAUAUAAAAUAUUUUAAUAUAUUAAUAUUAAAUAUAUUAAAUAUUAGGAGUGGGAGAGGGAGAGGGGAAAAGAAUAUAUUAAAUACUGUGAAAGUUAUAUAUUAAUAGGGUGUCGAAUAAAGCCCGGCUCGGCGGGCUCAGCUCGGGCUCGGCUCAUUUAAGCUCGGGCUCGUAAGCCCGAGCCCAAUCCUCAAGCUCGUUUAGCUUAACCAGCCAAGCUCGAGCUUGGACAUGCAGCUCGGCUCGUUAAGCUCGGUGGCUCGGUAAGAUCGAAGUAUAAAUAUAUAUAUAUAUUAUAUUUAAAGAGAAUAUAGAUGUAGCAUAGAUGGUAAAACGUUUGUUAAUCCUACGAGAGGUCACGAGUUUGAUCUCUCAUGUCUUCAAAUAAUUAUUUCUUUUAAUUCGAUCCCAGGCUCGCGAGCUUCAAGCCUGAGCCUGACAAUUCCUAAAACGAGCCGAACCCAAGCUCAAGCCAGUAUAACACCUUAACGAGCCGAGCCCGAACCUGAUUCUAUAAGCAAAAGCUCGGCUCGGCCCGACUCGUUUGACAUCCUAUAUAUUAACCCUUAAAAAAUAUUAAUAUAUUAUGAAAAUUGCAUUUAACCCCCUAUAAUUUUUUUAUUACAUAUAGGUCCUUAUUUUUCCCCAAAUUUCAGAUGGGGCAAUUACCCUCCCUUGCCACCCCCUGGCUACGCCACGUCGCACCUGAAAAUUACUGUAUUUUUUUUAUACCCUUUCAUGAAUAUCAUUUCUUUUAACCCUAGUCACCCAAUCCUUUGACCUAAUUUGAGUACCUUCUAGCUAAGCCUGUAAUUUUUUUAAAAUUUAAUAUCUGAUAUUUAUGAUAUUACAGAAAAAUAAUGAAAAAUUAAAUAAUUAAAACAUAAAUUAUCCUCAAUAUAAAUAAAGGAUAACCUAAAUCUAUUGAUCUUGAAAGCUCAAUAUAUUAUUCUUAUUCGAUUCAUCUUACAUAUAUAUUCAUUACUUUCCCGGUGAUGGUGGUUGUGGUGGUUCCAUUGUCGGUAACGUAUCAGAAUAGAGAUAAUUUUGAUAUAUCGCGCUACUGAUAUCACCUCCCAUACCUUCAUUUUUAUUUGCUUCAUCUAUCUUACUAGAGAACAUCGCCAUUAAAUCACCUGCUUCUUCAGUCCUGCUAUCACAUCUUUCCCGCAUUAUUGGAAACCUCUCUCCACCAUUCUUCAAACUUCCGAACUCAUUAUUGCUACGGUAAAUACUCGGGUCAAAGCCACCGUAAAGGGACGAUUCAGACAUGCCAUAAUUACCUCCACCUAGGUUGGACAUUGAAUAGCUAGUUUCUCCAACCGUAGGAUAAAUGUAAUGGGCAGUUGGAUCCAUCAUACCAGUGUAAUUAUUUCCAUAAUCAUUACAGUU